RNAcentral lists this ribosomal RNA (785 nucleotides) under uncultured Glomus. RNAcentral's name for it is "SSU rRNA". It matches the Rfam family "Eukaryotic small subunit ribosomal RNA", at positions 325 to 1111 of the family's 1831-position model. The record is from RNAcentral. Lineage: Eukaryota; Fungi; Glomeromycota; Glomeromycetes; Glomerales; Glomeraceae.
AUGGUAGGAUAGAGGCCUACCAUGGUGGUAACGGGUAACGGGGUGUUAGGGCACGACACCGGAGAGGGAGCCUGAGAAACGGCUACCACAUCCAAGGAAGGCAGCAGGCGCGCAAAUUACCCAAUCCCGACACGGGGAGGUAGUGACAAUAAAUAACAAUACAGGGUUCUUUGAAUCUUGUAAUUGGAAUGAGUACAAUUUAAAUCUCUUAACGAGGAACAAUUGGAGGGCAAGUCUGGUGCCAGCAGCCGCGGUAAUUCCAGCUCCAAUAGCGUAUAUUAAAGUUGUUGCAGUUAAAAAGCUCGUAGUUGAAUUUCGGGAUCAAUACGUCGGUCGUGCUUUCGGGUACGUACCGGCGUCAUUGGUUUCUCCUUUCUGACGAACCAUGAUGUCAUUAAUUUGGUGUUAUGGGGAGUUAGGACUGUUACUUUGAAAAAAUUAGAGUGUUUAAAGCAGGCAUUAGCUUGAAUACAUUAGCAUGGAAUAAUGAAAUAGGACGUUCGAUCCUAUUUUGUUGGUUUCUAGGAUCAACGUAAUGAUUAAUAGGGAUAGUUGGGGGCAUUAGUAUUCAAUUGUCAGAGGUGAAAUUCUUGGAUUUAUUGAAGACUAACUACUGCGAAAGCAUUUGCCAAGGAUGUUUUCAUUAAUCAAGAACGAAAGUUAGGGGAUCGAAGACGAUCAGAUACCGUCGUAGUCUUAACCAUAAACUAUGCCGACUAGGGAUCGGAUGAUGUUAAUUUUUUAAUGACUCAUUCGGCGCCUUACGGGAAACCAAAGUGUUUGGG